UAAGAGCGCACCGCGCGCGCCGGUAACGGCCGCGGCACGGUAAACCCCACCGGGAGCAAGCCCGAAUAGGGACGGCAGGCCACAAGCCAACGCGUUUCCGCGUCGCCGUCCGGGUAGGGUGCAAGAGGCGUCCGGUAACGGGCGUCCCAGAUGAAUGGCUAUCCCCCCUUUGGGGGACAGAACCCGGCUUACAGGUCAUCUGGCAUU
This 207-nucleotide RNase P RNA is filed under the name Alphaproteobacteria bacterium. Its description in RNAcentral is "partial RNase P RNA component class A". It matches the Rfam family "Bacterial RNase P class A", at positions 168 to 367 of the family's 367-position model. Rfam says of the family: Ribonuclease P (RNase P) is a ubiquitous endoribonuclease, found in archaea, bacteria and eukarya as well as chloroplasts and mitochondria. Its best characterised activity is the generation of mature 5'-ends of tRNAs by cleaving the 5'-leader elements of precursor-tRNAs. The record is from RNAcentral. Lineage: Bacteria; Pseudomonadati; Pseudomonadota; Alphaproteobacteria.